AACGCAUAUUGCGCCCUUUGGCAUUCCGAAGGGCAUACCUGUUCGAGCGUCAUUACACCCCUCAAGUCUGACUUGAUGUUGGGCCUUGCCCCUGGGCAUGCCUAAAAAUCAGCGAUGGUACGUCAAAGCACGGGCGCAUACAUGUUGCCACGUUGGGGCGGCGGCCAGUCUCGAUAAAUUUUCAUGUUGACCUCGGAUCAGGUAGGGAUACCCGCUGAACUUAA
This 224-nucleotide unclassified non-coding RNA is filed under the name uncultured Ascomycota. Its description in RNAcentral is "sequence contains ITS2". Lineage: Eukaryota; Fungi; Ascomycota. The record is from RNAcentral.